GGAAGGGAAGGCUGGCGGAGGAAGCAAGUGGCUUCUCUCCUCUCCUCACCCAACAAGGGCUGACUCAGCAGGUCAGGCUGCAGGCAUGUCAUCCAGGAGUGAGGACAGGUCGUGCGCAUGUCUGGGUGUCGCCCUGGGCCCUGGUGAGAUCAGAUCAGAUCAGUCGCUCAGUCAUGUCCGACUCUUUACCACCCCAUGAAUCGCAGAACACCAGGCCUCCCUGUCCAUCACCAACUCCCGGAGUUCACUGAGACUCACGUCCAUCAAGUCAGUGAUGCCAUCCAGCCAUCUCAUCCUCUGUCGUCCCCUACUCCUCCUGCCCCCAAUCCCUCCCAGCAUUAGAGUCUUUCGAAUGAG
Long non-coding RNA from Bos taurus (domestic cattle), 357 nucleotides. Lineage: Eukaryota; Metazoa; Chordata; Mammalia; Artiodactyla; Bovidae. The record is from Ensembl.